UCUUCCCUCUUUCCUCGUGCCUAAUACAUGCAAGUCGAGCGAACAGACGAGGAGCUUGCUCCUCUGACGUUAGCGGCGGAGGGGUGAGUAACACGGGGAUAAUCUACUUAUAAGACUGGGAUAACUUCGGGAAACCGGAGCUAAUACCGGAUAAUAUAUUGAACCGCAUGGGUGAAUAGUGAAAGACGGUUUUGCUGUCACUUAUAGAUGGUUCCGCGCCGCAUUAGCUAGUUGGUAAGGUAACGGCUUACCCAGGCAACGAUGCGUAGCCGAACUGAGAGAGUGGUCGGCCACACUGGAACUGAGACACGCUCCAGACUCCUACGGGACGCAGCAGUAGGGAAUCUGACGCAAUGGUCGAGAGCCUGACGGAGCAACGCCGCGUGAGUGAUGAAGGUCUUCGGAUCGUAAAACUCUGUUAUUAGGGAAGAACAAAUGUGUAAGUAACUAUGCACGGCUUGACGGUACCUAAUCAGAAAGCCACGGCUAACUACGUG
Molecule: ribosomal RNA, 497 nt
Filed under: uncultured bacterium
Lineage: Bacteria
Description: partial 16S ribosomal RNA
Rfam family: Bacterial small subunit ribosomal RNA
Source: RNAcentral